This 468-nucleotide ribosomal RNA is filed under the name uncultured bacterium. Its description in RNAcentral is "partial 16S ribosomal RNA". It matches the Rfam family "Bacterial small subunit ribosomal RNA", at positions 28 to 507 of the family's 1533-position model. The record is from RNAcentral.
GACGAACGCUGGCGGCGUGCUUAACACAUGCAAGUCGAACGGAAAGGCCCUGCUUCUGUGGGGUGCUCGAGUGGCGAACGGGUGAGUAACACGUGAGUAACCUGCCCUUGACUUUGGGAUAACUUCAGGAAACUGGGGCUAAUACCGGAUAGGAGCUCCUGCUGCAUGGUGGGGGUUGGAAAGUUUCGGCGGUUGGGGAUGGACUCGCGGCUUAUCAGCUUGUUGGUGGGGUAGUGGCUUACCAAGGCUUUGACGGGUAGCCGGCCUGAGAGGGUGACCGGCCACAUUGGGACUGAGAUACGGCCCAGACUCCUACGGGAGGCAGCAGUGGGGAAUAUUGCACAAUGGGCGGAAGCCUGAUGCAGCAACGCCGCGUGCGGGAUGACGGCCUUCGGGUUGUAAACCGCUUUCGCCUGUGACGAAGCGUGAGUGACGGUAAUGGGUAAAGAAGCACCGGCUAACUACUUG